AGCGAACGUUUGCGGCGGGCCUAACACAUGCAAGUCGAACGCACUAGCAAUAGUGAGUGGCGCACGGGUGCGUAACACGUGGGUAAUCAACCCUUCAGCCUGGGAUAACGACUCGAAAGGGUCGCUAAUACCGGAUACGGCGCGAGAGGCUUCGGCUUCUCACGAGAAAGCCACGCAAGGGGCACUGAAGGACGAGCCUGCGGCCCAUCAGCUAGUUGGUGAGGUAAGAGCUCACCAAGGCUAAGACGGGUAGCUGGUCUGAGAGGAUGAUCAGCCACACUGGAACUGAGACACGGUCCAGACUCCUACGGGAGGCAGCAGUGGGGAAUAUUGCGCAAUGGGCGAAAGCCUGACGCAGCCACGCCGCAUGAGCGAUGAAGGCCUCGGGUCGUAAGACGUCUGUGGGGAGAGACGAAGAAAGACCUGUGAAGAGCAGGCCUUGACGGUAGUCUCCUUAGCAAGCACCGGCUAACUACCGUG
This 480-nucleotide ribosomal RNA is filed under the name uncultured bacterium. RNAcentral describes it as "bacterial SSU rRNA". It matches the Rfam family "Bacterial small subunit ribosomal RNA", at positions 29 to 507 of the family's 1533-position model. The record is from RNAcentral.